UACGUAGGGUGCAAGCGUUGUCCGGAAUUAUUGGGCGUAAAGAGCUCGUAGGCGGUCUGUCGCGUCUGCUGUGAAAACUCGGGGCUCAACCCCGGGCCUGCAGUGGGUACGGGCAGACUAGAGUGCGGUAGGGGAGACUGGAAUUCCUGGUGUAGCGGUGAAAUGCGCAGAUAUCAGGAGGAACACCGAUGGCGAAGGCAGGUCUCUGGGCCACUACUGACGCUGAGAAGCGAAAGCAUGGGGAGCGAACAGG
This 253-nucleotide ribosomal RNA is filed under the name uncultured bacterium. RNAcentral's name for it is "partial 16S ribosomal RNA". It matches the Rfam family "Bacterial small subunit ribosomal RNA", at positions 524 to 776 of the family's 1533-position model. The record is from RNAcentral.